CGUGUAGGCGGCCAGGUAGGUCCGUUGUGAAAACUGGAGGCUUAACCUCCAGCCGUCGACGGAAACCAUCUGGCUAGAGUCCGGAAGAGGAGAGUGGAAUUCCUGGUGUAGCGGUGAAAUGCGCAGAUAUCAGGAAGAACACCCGUGGCGAAGGCGGCUCUCUGGGACGGUACUGACGCUGAGACGCGAAAGCGUGGGGAGCGAACA
Molecule: ribosomal RNA, 207 nt
Filed under: uncultured bacterium
Lineage: Bacteria
Description: partial 16S ribosomal RNA
Rfam family: Bacterial small subunit ribosomal RNA
Source: RNAcentral